This 253-nucleotide ribosomal RNA is filed under the name uncultured bacterium. RNAcentral's name for it is "partial 16S ribosomal RNA". It matches the Rfam family "Bacterial small subunit ribosomal RNA", at positions 524 to 776 of the family's 1533-position model. The record is from RNAcentral.
UACGUAGGGUGCAAGCGUUAAUCGGAAUUACUGGGCGUAAAGCGUGCGCAGGCGGUUAUGUAAGACAGGUGUGAAAUCCCCGGGCUUAACCUGGGAACUGCAUUUGUGACUGCAUAGCUAGAGUACGGCAGAGGGGGAUGGAAUUCCGCGUGUAGCAGUGAAAUGCGUAGAUAUCUGGAGGAAUACCGGUGGCGAAGGCGGCAUCCUGGACCGGCAUUGACGCUGAGGAGCGAAAGCCAGGGGAGCAAACGGG